GAACCGUCUACUUACAUAGUUUAACUUACGAAGAUUAAAAGAUAAAAGUAUCGUUUCGUAGGCUUAGCGAUCCGUAUUUUCACAUAAACGUCAAGUUAACUAAGCCAUCAUACGAAACUUACGGUAAACUUAACGUCAACAUAGUGGCAAGAAUGAAAUCGUAUACAGGAUGUUCCAGUAACCGAAUAAAUCGAAAAUGUAGAAUAAAAUUUGUUCAUAUGGCACUACGUAUUUAAUAAAAUCGAAUUUAAAGAUUUAUUUGACGCACAUGUAAUUAGCUAAAUAUCAAGCGG
Molecule: unclassified non-coding RNA, 293 nt
Filed under: Bombus terrestris (buff-tailed bumblebee)
Lineage: Eukaryota; Metazoa; Arthropoda; Insecta; Hymenoptera; Apidae
Description: misc RNA ENSBTSG00005031370.1
Source: RNAcentral